RNAcentral lists this ribosomal RNA (387 nucleotides) under Bacillus cereus. RNAcentral's name for it is "bacterial LSU rRNA". It matches the Rfam family "Bacterial large subunit ribosomal RNA", at positions 2543 to 2925 of the family's 2925-position model. Lineage: Bacteria; Bacillati; Bacillota; Bacilli; Caryophanales; Bacillaceae. The record is from RNAcentral. RNAcentral also lists the same sequence under 1 other name.
CAUCCUGGGGCUGUAGUCGGUCCCAAGGGUUGGGCUGUUCGCCCAUUAAAGCGGUACGCGAGCUGGGUUCAGAACGUCGUGAGACAGUUCGGUCCCUAUCCGUCGUGGGCGUAGGAAAUUUGAGAGGAGCUGUCCUUAGUACGAGAGGACCGGGAUGGACGCACCGCUGGUGUACCAGUUGUUCUGCCAAGGGCAUAGCUGGGUAGCUAUGUGCGGAAGGGAUAAGUGCUGAAAGCAUCUAAGCAUGAAGCCCCCCUCAAGAUGAGAUUUCCCAUAGCGUAAGCUAGUAAGAUCCCUGAAAGAUGAUCAGGUUGAUAGGUUCGAGGUGGAAGCAUGGUGACAUGUGGAGCUGACGAAUACUAAUAGAUCGAGGACUUAACCAUAUAA